This 304-nucleotide ribosomal RNA is filed under the name uncultured bacterium. RNAcentral's name for it is "bacterial SSU rRNA". It matches the Rfam family "Bacterial small subunit ribosomal RNA", at positions 1022 to 1341 of the family's 1533-position model. The record is from RNAcentral.
GGGGUCUCUGGCACAGGUGCAUGCAUGGUUUGUCGUAGCUCGUGUCGUGGAGAUGCCGGUUAAGUCCGGUACGAGCGCAACCCUUGCUCUGUGUUAUACGUGUCACAGAGGACUGCCGGUAUCAAACCGGAGGAAGGUGGGGAUGACGUCAAGUCAGCAUGGCCUUUAUGUCCAGGGCGACACACACGCUACAAUGGGCAGUACAAAGGGAAGCGAAGCCGCGAGGGGGAGCAAAUCGCAAAAAGCGCGCCCCAGUUCGGAUUGCAGGCUGCAACCCGCCUGCAUGAGCCGGAGUUGCUAUAAC